GAUGAACGCUAGCUACAGGCUUAACACAUGCAAGUCGCGGGGCAGCAUGGGGGUUGCUUGCAAUCCCCGAUGGCGACCGGCGCACGGGUGAGUAACGCGUAUCCAACCUGCCCUUCACCACGGGAUAACCCGGCGAAAGUCGGACUAAUACCGUAUGUUGUCCAUUGACGGCAUCCGAUUUGGACGAAAGGCUUGGCGGUGAAGGAUGGGGAUGCGUCCGAUUAGCUGGACGGCGGGGUGACGGCCCACCGUGGCGACGAUCGGUAGGGGUUCUGAGAGGAAGGUCCCCCACACUGGAACUGAGACACGGUCCAGACUCCUACGGGAGGCAGCAGUGAGGAAUAUUGGUCAAUGGGCGUAAGCCUGAACCAGCCAAGUAGCGUGCAGGAUGACGGCCCUAUGGGUUGUAAACUGCUUUUAUGCGGGGAUAAAGUGGCCCACGUGUGGGUUUUUGCAGGUACCGCAUGAAUAAGGACCGGCUAAUUCCGUG
RNAcentral lists this ribosomal RNA (490 nucleotides) under uncultured bacterium. RNAcentral's name for it is "partial 16S ribosomal RNA". It matches the Rfam family "Bacterial small subunit ribosomal RNA", at positions 28 to 507 of the family's 1533-position model. The record is from RNAcentral.